This 498-nucleotide ribosomal RNA is filed under the name uncultured bacterium. RNAcentral's name for it is "partial 16S ribosomal RNA". It matches the Rfam family "Bacterial small subunit ribosomal RNA", at positions 28 to 507 of the family's 1533-position model. The record is from RNAcentral.
GACGAACGCUGGCGGCGUGCCUAAUACAUGCAAGUCGAGCGGACGAAUCGAAAGCUUGCUUUUGAUUCGUUAGCGGCGGACGGGUGAGUAACACGUGGGCAACCUGCCCUGUAGACGGAGAUAACACCGAGAAAUCGGUGCUAAUACCGGAUAACACGAAAUGUCGCAUGACGUUUCGUUGAAAGACGGCGCAAGCUGCCGCUACAGGAUGGGCCCGCGGCGCAUUAGCUAGUUGGUGAGGUAACGGCUCACCAAGGCGACGAUACGUAGCCGACCUGAGAGGGUGAUCGGCCACACUGGGACUGAGACACGGCCCAGACUCCUGCGGGAGGCAGCAGUAGGGAAUCUUCCGCAAUGGACGAAAGUCUGACGGAGCAACGCCGCGUGAGCGAAGAAGGCCUUCGGGUCGUAAAGCUCUGUUGUUAGGGAAGAACAAGUAACGCAGUAACUGGCGUUACCGUGACGGUACCUAACGAGAAAGCCACGGCUAACUACGUG